Molecule: ribosomal RNA, 404 nt
Filed under: Verrucomicrobiota bacterium
Lineage: Bacteria; Pseudomonadati; Verrucomicrobiota
Description: Verrucomicrobia bacterium partial 16S ribosomal RNA
Rfam family: Bacterial small subunit ribosomal RNA
Source: RNAcentral
UGGGGAAUAUUGGACAAUGGGCGCAAGCCUGAUCCAGCAAUGCCGCGUGAGUGAUGAAGGCCCUAGGGUUGUAAAGCUCUUUCACCGGUGAAGAUAAUGACGGUAACCGGAGAAGAAGCCCCGGCUAACUUCGUGCCAGCAGCCGCGGUAAUACGAAGGGGGCUAGCGUUGUUCGGAUUUACUGGGCGUAAAGCGCACGUAGGCGGACUUUUAAGUCAGGGGUGAAAUCCCGGGGCUCAACCCCGGAACUGCCUUUGAUACUGGAAGUCUUGAGUAUGGUAGAGGUGGGUGGAAUUCCGAGUGUAGAGGUGAAAUUCGUAGAUAUUCGGAGGAACACCAGUGGCGAAGGCGGCUCACUGGACCAUUACUGACGCUGAGGUGCGAAAGCGUGGGGAGCAAACAGG